Molecule: unclassified non-coding RNA, 360 nt
Filed under: fungal sp.
Lineage: Eukaryota; Fungi
Description: partial internal transcribed spacer region
Rfam family: Eukaryotic small subunit ribosomal RNA (bases 1-46)
Source: RNAcentral
AAGUCGUAACAAGGUUUCCGUAGGUGAACCUGCGGAAGGAUCAUUAACACGUAUCCAACGUUAAACCCCCCGUGAACCUUCAGUGCGCUCGCACUUUCUUAGAAAAGGUAGCAAUCCCUGGUAAAUCAUUGCCGAACAGUUUUGAUUCAGGGACUUCUGCGUAGACUGUGCUUGAGCGUGAGGCAAGUGGCCUGGCAUUCCUCUGCUUGUUGGUGUCUGAAAGUGUCACCAGCUCUGUACGAAUGGCGCAGUCACGAUCGCUAGAGGCCGACACGGCCGGCGACCGGGUCACUGGGCGCGAGCCCCCCUAGUGCGGCCACCAAACUCGAACAACUGUUGACAAUGGAUAUCUUGGUUCUC